This 1336-nucleotide long non-coding RNA is filed under the name Zostera marina. Its description in RNAcentral is "long non-coding RNA (ZMAR_LNC004603)". The record is from RNAcentral. Lineage: Eukaryota; Viridiplantae; Streptophyta; Magnoliopsida; Alismatales; Zosteraceae.
CACGUAUUUGCUUUGUUAGGCCUGUCUUAACUAUCUCUACAUAUGAGGGAUCCUCCAGCCAAGAGUUAAAUAACCUAAACGGCUUAGCUCCUUUUUCCACCUGAGAUAAUGUGAUUAGCAUAGCUUUGUGGUCACUGGUUCCAUUGUGAAAUUCCACCCUUGCUUCAGGCCAAGUAUCAAUCCAAAUUUGGUUUGCAAAGACCCUAUCCAACUUUGUUUGAGUGAAACAAUGGGAUGAAGAAGAAACAAUGGGGCAUCUUUAAUUAAACUGCUAAUACUUCAAUGCUGUACUGUUUUCACUCAUAGAAACUCUGAAUUCAACUGUUUGGAUAAAACUUAACAUCCUACCCCACAAGACAGCAAUGAGGACAUCAUUGAGAGGAAUAGGGGAUAGAAAGGUUCAGCAAACAUUCAAGCUGUUGGAGUUUUAAUGAGCAGUUCUUGGCUCGCUUGGAACAUCUGGUGUGAGAGAAACAAAAAAUCCAAGCAAUACAUCCUCAGACCCCCGGAAGAACUCAUCCAGCAAGCAUAUCUCCAAGUGUUAAUGAAUGAAGGUGGAUUGAUGGUGGGCUAGAUCUAGAAUUUAGAAUAACAACUGAUGAUGUUAUUGCCAGUGUAAACACAGACACACACACAUAGUUAUUACACCACUAUACCCUUUUGUGAUAGAGAUUAGAGCACAUUUAUAAAGUCAAUAACUAACAUACUAAAAAAAUCUAAUUAUCUUUAUGUAAUUAACUUUAAUCGUUUCUUUGCGCUAAUACUAAGGAUGUUAGUAUCUACUUUGAUAUCCAAAACUCAAUCUGAAUCAGAUUAAGGUCAAUGAUGUAAUUUAAUGGGAAUUCUAUAUUUUGCGGUUUCAAUUAAUAGUUCUAUAAUGCUGUUGAAAAGUUGUGUAGGAUCAUGGUAGUGAUUUGGUGACCAUGCUUAAUUGCUCAUCUCCCAAUCCAUUAUGUAAGCUAGGCUUGGUCCUUAUUUUAUUGAAAAGUUUAACUGUAUGAGAAAAAAUGUUUGAGAGAAAAAAUGAUUUUUUUAAUGAUAAAUAAUUGGUAUCUUCAUGUGAUCAUUUUUUCCGAUGAAUUGAAAAUUUCAUAGCUGAAAAUAAAAUGGGUAGCUCAAAGUAAAUUGUAAGGAAAUGAAAUACAGGUAGUAAGGCUAAAAAGCAUAACAGAAUAUGUAAAGCAUUGUCACUCUCUUUUGUGGCUAUGACCCUGGCAUAUGUAACCAUGAACUGUCUUCAUGUGAUCAUGUCAAUGCAUGUCGAACCCCUAACUUCUAGUAGCAUACAUAAAUGUUUUCAUCCCUAAUAGAUUGAUUUUUGAAACAAUAAUUCAUA